CGAAAGCCUGACGGAGCAAUACCGCGUGAGGGAGGAAGGCUCUUGGGUUGUAAACCUCUUUUCUCAGGGAAGAAAAAAAUGACGGUACCUGAGGAAUAAGCAUCGGCUAACUCCGUGCCAGCAGCCGCGGUAAUACGGAGGAUGCAAGCGUUAUCCGGAAUGAUUGGGCGUAAAGCGUCCGCAGGUGGCUGUGUAAGUCUGCUGUUAAAGAGUGAGGCUCAACCUCAUAAGAGCAGUGGAAACUACAUAGCUAGAGUACGUUCGGGGCAGAGGGAAUUCCUGGUGUAGCGGUGAAAUGCGUAGAGAUCAGGAAGAACACCGGUGGCGAAAGCGCUCUGCUAGGCCGUAACUGACACUGAGGGUCGAAAGCUAGGGGAGCG
RNAcentral lists this ribosomal RNA (380 nucleotides) under uncultured Calochaete sp. RNAcentral's name for it is "bacterial SSU rRNA". It matches the Rfam family "Bacterial small subunit ribosomal RNA", at positions 376 to 770 of the family's 1533-position model. The record is from RNAcentral. Lineage: Bacteria; Bacillati; Cyanobacteriota; Cyanophyceae; Nostocales; Fortieaceae.